This 632-nucleotide ribosomal RNA is filed under the name uncultured bacterium. RNAcentral's name for it is "bacterial SSU rRNA". The stretch from base 1 to 546 matches the Rfam family "Bacterial small subunit ribosomal RNA", at positions 338 to 873 of the family's 1533-position model. The record is from RNAcentral.
CCUACGGGAGGCAGCAGUGGGGAAUCUUGCGCAAUGGGCGAAAGCCUGACGCAGCGACGCCGCGUGGGGAAGAAGGCCUUCGGGUUGUAAACCUCUUUCAGUGGGGACGAGGCCGGCUGGGUUAAUAGCCCUGUCCGGUGACGGUACCCGCAGAAGAAGCCCCGGCUAACUACGUGCCAGCAGCCGCGGUAAUACGUAGGGGGCAAGCGUUGUCCGGAAUCAUUGGGCGUAAAGCGCGUGUAGGCGGCGCGGUAAGUCCGGUGUGAAACCUUGGGGCUCAACCCCAAGCCUGCAUCGGAUACUGCCGCGCUCGAGUCCGGGAGAGGGAAGCGGAAUUCCUAGUGUAGCGGUGAAAUGCGCAGAUAUUAGGAAGAACACCGGUGGCGAAGGCGGCUUCCUGGAACGGUACUGACGCUGAGACGCGAAAGCGUUGGGGAGCGAACAGGAUUAGAUACCCUGGUAGUCCACGCCGUAAACGAUGGGCACUAGAUGUGGGUCGGUGUCGACGUCCGUCCGUCGUCGUGUCGUACGACAUAGUAGUCCGCCGUCGGAGGUACGGCCGGCGACGACGUAACGUAACAACGAAGUAGUAGACGCGAGACGACGCGACGACGACGACGACGGAGGAGGAG